CGCACAGUAAACGAUGAAUACCAGCUGUUGGCGAUAGACAGUCAGCGGCGUAAGCGAAAGCGUUAAGUAUUCCACCUGGGGAGUACGCCGGCAACGGUGAAACUCAAAGGAAUUGACGGGGGCCCGCACAAGCGGAGGAACAUGUGGUUUAAUUCGAUGAUACGCGAGGAACCUUACCCGGGCUUGAACUGCCAGUGAACGAUUCAGAGAUGAUGAGGCCCUUCGGGGCGCUGGUGGAGGUGC
RNAcentral lists this ribosomal RNA (243 nucleotides) under uncultured bacterium. Its description in RNAcentral is "partial 16S ribosomal RNA". It matches the Rfam family "Bacterial small subunit ribosomal RNA", at positions 796 to 1041 of the family's 1533-position model. The record is from RNAcentral.